Molecule: ribosomal RNA, 462 nt
Filed under: uncultured bacterium
Lineage: Bacteria
Description: bacterial SSU rRNA
Rfam family: Bacterial small subunit ribosomal RNA
Source: RNAcentral
GCAGAACGCGAAGAACCUUACCAACCCUUGACAUGGGACGUAUGGGCACCAGAGAUGGUGUUCUUCAGUUCGGCUGGCGUCCACACAGGUGCUGCAUGGCUGUCGUCAGCUCGUGUCGUGAGAUGUUGGGUUAAGUCCCGCAACGAGCGCAACCCUCAUCUUCAGUUGCCAUCAUUUAGUUGGGCACUCUGAAGAAACUGCCGGUGACAAGCCGGAGGAAGGCGGGGAUGACGUCAAGUCCUCAUGGCCCUUACGGGUUGGGCUACACACGUGCUACAAUGGUGGUGACAAUGGGGAGCGAGGCCGCGAGGCCAAGCCAAUCUCAAAAAGCCAUCUCAGUUCGGAUUGCACUCUGCAACUCGAGUGCAUGAAGUUGGAAUCGCUAGUAAUCGCGCAUCAGCAUGGCGCGGUGAAUACGUUCCCGGGUCUUGUACACACCGGAGGUCGGUGGGGGAGGGCGAA